GAUGAACGCUGGCGGCGUGCCUAAUACAUGCAAGUCGAGCGAACAGACGAGGAGCUUGCUCCUCUGACGUUAGCGGCGGACGGGUGAGUAACACGUGGAUAACCUACCUAUAAGACUGGGAUAACUUCGGGAAACCGGAGCUAAUACCGGAUAAUAUAUUGAACCGCAUGGUUCAAUAGUGAAAGACGGUUUUGCUGUCACUUAUAGAUGGAUCCGCGCCGCAUUAGCUAGUUGGUAAGGUAACGGCUUACCAAGGCAACGAUGCGUAGCCGACCUGAGAGGGUGAUCGGCCACACUGGAACUGAGACGCGGUCCAGACUCCUACGGGAGGCAGCAGUAGGGAAUCUUCCGCAAUGGGCGAAAGCCUGACGGGGCAACGCCGCGUGAGUGAUGAAGGUCUUCGGAUCGUAAAACUCUGUUAUUAGGGAAGAACAAAUGUGUAAGUAACUAUGCACGUCUUGACGGUACCUAAUCAGAAAGCCACGGCUAACUACGUG
Molecule: ribosomal RNA, 497 nt
Filed under: uncultured bacterium
Lineage: Bacteria
Description: partial 16S ribosomal RNA
Rfam family: Bacterial small subunit ribosomal RNA
Source: RNAcentral